This 1110-nucleotide long non-coding RNA is filed under the name Durio zibethinus. RNAcentral's name for it is "long non-coding RNA (DZIB_LNC001308)". Lineage: Eukaryota; Viridiplantae; Streptophyta; Magnoliopsida; Malvales; Malvaceae. The record is from RNAcentral.
CAAAAACAUAAAAACCAUAAAAAAAUACCAAAACAAAAGAAUCGGCUCGGCUAUGGCAUUGACUCAGCUCCAAACAUAGAAGAUAGCUCCAAAGGCAUGGCUCAGCUAACUGGCAGCUCGGCUCUACGGCAGCAUAAAAAAGAUGGAUCCCGAGUCAAAGCACUUUCGAUUGGGUUGGAUAUUUGGGGCAGCAUGCAAAUCUGGAAAGCUUUAUGAUCAAAACAAUGUUGUUUCUUUAUAAUAUAAAAGCCAAAAAGAACCUUAUUCUUUGGAUUUCCUUUUUCCUUUUCUCUCUCUUCAAAACUUUUUUUAUCUCUCUCUAAAAUUGGUAGGAACACCAAUUGAAUAUCUCGUCACAUUUUGAAAACUUAGGCCAAAAUCUGGGUUGAAUCACCAAAAAGUCAUCAAUUUCUAAAUCGAAAACUAAAGAUGAUACCAAAAAACCAGAAAUCUCACCAAAAAAUCAUUAAAAAUUUUAAUAUUUGUAGCUUCAAAUUAAAUUUGAUAAUUUUUAAAAAAAUCCAAAAUUUUGUAAAAAUUCUUCACAGAUCACCAAUUUAGCCCCCAAUUUUUUGUAAUCCUCAUAAAAACCAAAUCAAGCUUUUUCAAAACAAAAAAAAAAAAAAAAAAAUCCGCUAGGAGCUUUUCUUUAGAAUAUUGGACUUGAUUGCUCCCUAUACUUGCUACUGACUUUCUCUAUUUUUGCCAAUGAUUUUUUUUUUUUUUGUGUUCUUUUUGUGUGUUGCUUAUGUUGUUUUAUAGGAAAGAGUCCAAAUCCAAGUAGUAUUCCAUUAGGAUUAGAUUCUUCAAUAAAAAAAAUCCAAUUUAUCAUCAUAUUAAAAUUUUUAUUAUAUAUCUUUAAAAAAAUUUUAUGAACAUUCAUCACUUAAAAGCUUUAGUUCAAUCCAAUCUCAAUUAACCAAUCAAAUCUCAGCCCUUUGAUUUUAUCCCUUUUUUUGUUUUUUUUUUAAUGAUUUUUCUAAAAAAUCUAAUCGGAUAACCUAAAAACCAAAGAUUAAUUAAUCAAAUAAAAUAAAACAACUAAUAACAAAUAAUUAACACUAAAUAUAUUCUAAUGAAUAAGGAUAAAAACCUAAUAAAAAUUUAAAC